GGCGAAACUCAACAGGUCUGGCAGGACUUAAUCUCGCUUUAUUUCCUGCAUGACAUCUUGGGGCUCCCCCGGCUUGUGCUGACAGCUCAUUCCCAAAAAAAUAUAAUAAUAGUGUGACUGCAACCCUUUCUCGGUGGGGAACAGCAGAGAGGGAAUUACAAAACCCAUUGUUCAGUGCGGAACGGACCUCUCUGUGAAUCGUAAAAGCGCUUGAGGAGAGAAACCGAGCUGUUAAAAUGUUCUGCAUCUUUUUCCUGGUGACCCUGUGGCCGAAUCCAGUUGUAUCUCACACUGCUCUGUUUAUACCUUCGGCUACUGUCCUCGGGCAAGAGGGAGGAUCAGCAACGCUAAAGUGUUCAAGUUCUAAUACGGAACUCCUUAUGAAAUGGGGCUAUGUCACCCCUGGCUCUUCAGAAACCAAAUGGCUCUUGUACUGGAGCCCGGGAAGGUCAAUCGCUGCUCGAAUGCCAGGGAUCGAGGCUCGAUUUUCCGAAUCCAGAGCCAGCAAAUACUCCUUAAAAAUCGAUAACUUGAGAGCGGAGGAUUCCGCCACCUAUUACUGUCAGAGCGGGGAGGAUGGAGCUGACUGGUGUGGCUGUGGGAUCACGCUGAAGGUGAAACCAAAUGGUUACAUUCAGGAGUCUGUGAUCCAGCUGAUCUCUCCUCGAUCCGAUGCUGUCUCUGCCAGGCAAAAUGUCACAGUGACCUGUUUGGUGUCAGAUUUUUACCCUGCCGAUAUUUCUGUGACUUGGAGAGAUGAGAAUGGUCCAGUGGAUACGGGAGUGACCCAGUUUGCAGUGGCUUUGGGCAGUACAGGCACCUACCGGACACUGAGCCAGCUGACUGUGCCGACAGCAGAGUGGGAGAGUAACCAUACUUACUGGUGUGAAGUGAACCAUGUGUCCCUGGUACAGACGCUACAGAGAGCGGUCACUAAGGAUCUGGUGAAAUCCAGUGGAUACCUGGCGGAUGUGUUGGAUACCCUGUGGAUUCCUGAGGCUGUGGGAUUUCUGAUUUUACUUAUUCUCGUUGUUAUCCUCAUCCACAAGAAAGCCACUUCUUCCUCCCGCAUUGGGGCCAGGAGAUACUGAGCUUGAACAUCAACCUCAAGUCACAGGAAACUUGGACAAGAGCUAUACUUACAGAUCACAGAGAGAUAUCAGCUUGUAUUGAUCUACAGGCAUUUUCAUAUUCCUCACUAUCAGCAGUAACACUUCGGGACCUGUGUUAGAUGUCAAUCAGUCCAUCACACUCAUGUCUCUAAGGCAAAAGGCUGUGUUCUCAAAUUUCAUUCCAGGACUCCUGCUCAGCAAUCCAAGCUGACAUGCCAUCACUGUUGGACUAUAACCUGGUGUUGUGUGAUAUUUAUCACUAUACUGAAAGCUACACUGUCAGAAGUCUAAUUGGAAAGUCAGUAAAGUAAACAGCUUUGGAGGCCUUGGCAUUUAUUUUUAAAAGUUGGAACAAUUGAAGCAUCCUGGCUGGGUGUGACCAGCUCUCACAGACCAGGAUUUCUAGCUUUUAGUUUGUUCGCUUUGAGAUUCAGUGUCAGUUGUUGUUGAAGUUGGGAGUAAAUGUCUCUCGGUCACUACUCUCUCUGAAUUUUUGCUAGAUAUUUUUUUCUCUCUGUCUGCUUCUGGAUUGCAUCUGAGAAAAUCUGUUUCCUGAAUUUGUCUUUUUGCCAAGGGGUGUGUUUUUGAGAUGUUACUAUAUUGUGUUAUGGACCAAGCCUGAUCCCUCAAAACAUUUCAAGAAGGUAGCCUAGACCUUAACUUUGCUACUUGGAUUUAAGCAAGUGUACAGUGAAUAGUCCAGAAGAGAAUUAGCUGGUCAAACUGUUUAGUUUUAAACAAAAACAGAAUUUAUUUACAAGAUUACUGAAUUAAACACACAGAACAGAAAACCGAAUACUGAAUAACUUAUCCUAUCCGAACCCAACAAACUAUCCCGACUUAAUGAUGCUGUUCCAAACUACUUGCAACAAUCCCACCAAACACCCCCUUGGCACAACAGGUAAAAAAUGAAAUAAAGGCUUACAAGUUCAAAGUCAGAAACCCAGCCCUUCUUCAAACACACUGCUGCUGAACUGGCCACUCCCCUUUCAUUGUACAAGUUGUUUUCUAAACUUGAAAGCCAUCUUCCUGAGGCAGUAUCUGUUAGCUAUAAACAAAUGGGUGCUAAAAUCUAUCAAAACUCUCAGAACCUCUCUGAACUUUCAUCUGAUAGUUACUGGAUCUAUUAUUUUGUUAAGUUUUUCAAUAGCGUGGUUAUUCUGAAUUCCUUUGUCUUUUGUUAUAUUAUAACU
Chiloscyllium plagiosum (whitespotted bambooshark) is the source of this 2305-nucleotide non-coding RNA. Lineage: Eukaryota; Metazoa; Chordata; Chondrichthyes; Orectolobiformes; Hemiscylliidae. The record is from the annotation of a RefSeq genome assembly.